This is a long non-coding RNA of Amphibalanus amphitrite, 784 nucleotides long. RefSeq lists it as uncharacterized. The record is from RefSeq and is a predicted model, not a curated record. Lineage: Eukaryota; Metazoa; Arthropoda; Thecostraca; Balanomorpha; Balanidae. The transcript is spliced from 4 exons.
CAGUGACCUACCUUCGUUCUGCGGCUGCCGCCGGGGCCGGGGCCGGCUGGGUCGCGAGCUGGCCGGCGGCGCCAGCGGUGCCUCGUGGAAGAUGGCCGCGGGCGGGGGCGGCGGCGGCGGCGGCGGUGGUGGAGUCGGUGGCGGCGGCUGGCGCGUCGCCGGCUCGUCGUCGCUCGUGUACGGCGAGUACGGCUCGAACUCUGCAACCACCGCACAGCAGACAUUCAGGAUUUCCACGAAAUCUCUGCGCGGAGGGGGCCUGGCCCGCAUUGACAGCAUGCCCUCUCCGAGAUCCUUCUUCUUCGUCUUGUGGGAUCUGAAAAGCUCCCUGGCGGCCUGAGCGGCGUGCUGCAGCCGCGCGAUGAACUUCUCGAUGUCGUCAAAGCAGUGGUUCAGCACGGACACAUCGCGCUCGUACUUCUCCGACGAGGUGGACGACACGUCGUCGGUGGCCGCCUCGCUCCCGGCGCGGUCCCGCUCGCGCGAGCUGUGGCGCGAACUCUCGAAAUCUGGCGGCAAAUCACGGAGAGUUCAGAUUCCAGAGACGCGACUCGGUGGCAGAGUGCCAGCCUCGAGUGAAUUAUUCACAGAGCAGCUCACGACUGACCUGCCGCCCUUCAAUUGGCACAACGACCGAGACGAACGGCCUGGCUCUGAGACACCCGAGAUUCACGCUGUUGGUUGUGAGAUUCUGAACCGUGCAGCAUCGUCUCGUUCGGGGAUGUUUAGUACGCUCUAUCACAUUUUACAAUGCACUUGUUUGUGUGUAGCUUCGAGGCUGUAC